Non-coding RNA from Aegilops tauschii subsp. strangulata, 715 nucleotides. NCBI's taxonomy places the organism in Eukaryota, Viridiplantae, Streptophyta, Magnoliopsida, Poales, Poaceae. The record is from RefSeq and is a predicted model, not a curated record.
ACAAGAGGGUCCUCUUCCACCUAGGCUAUUUAUAUUGGUUAUGGAUGUCUUGAAUUCACUGAUUAUCCGAGCUUCUGUCAAGUGACUUAUCACUCAUUAAAGAAACCUUGGACUCCUUUGGGCAUGCUUCAGGCUUCAUGACAAACAUGCUUAAGAUUUCAGUCAUGCCUAUCCAGUGCAAGGAUGAUGACUUGGCGGCCAUCUCCAGAAAUGAAGGAUUUCCCAUGCACCUACCUUGGCCUCCCUCUCACAGUUCAGAAGCCCGAGUUAGUGCCGCUUAUUGAUAAGGUGGCAGAAAAUCUUCCGGGUUGGAAGGCUUCCCUCAUGAACCACGCUGGCCAUCUUGUUUCAGUUUCGGGUACUCCUAACUUAUAUCCACUCUACCUAAGUGGGUGAUAAAGGCUUCUUUUUUGCGGGGAGAGUGAUAAAGGCUAUUGACAAGUGUGACCGGGGGGGGGGGGGUUCUUUGGAAAGGACAAGGCCAAUGGAGGCAACUACCUUGUGUACUGCACACUUUCCAAUUCAGUAUUGCAGUCUUGGCAUCCACAAUCUUGAAGUUUUAGGAUGGGCUCUCCGCAUUCGGUGGCUCUGGUUACAAAAAACUGACACAGCCCAAGGUGCCCUUAUUUUAUGCGGGAUUACUUGUGCCUCAGACUAUGAUGAACAUGUGAGAUAUUUGCCAUAUCAAGACGGCAUGUUAAAUAGUUUACUAGCA